This is an RNA transcript of Pteropus alecto (black flying fox), 7685 nucleotides long. It is a transcript of the gene named nucleobindin 2, with no coding region annotated. The transcript has 15 exons. The record is from RefSeq and is a predicted model, not a curated record. NCBI's taxonomy places the organism in Eukaryota, Metazoa, Chordata, Mammalia, Chiroptera, Pteropodidae.
CAGCGAGGAGGCGGGAGCGCGCGGUGGGCAGAGGUACUGAGCAAAGCUGCGGGCAGGGAUUUGGAGAGACAGGUCCGUGCGUUGCAGGCAUUCAGCUGGCAGAACCUCGCGCGCCGAGACUGGGGCUAGAACCUGUUAAGAGUCAGAGAAAAAGCAUUGAGCUUGGAGCCAAGACCCUGUUAAGAAUCAGUGAAAAGCAUUGAGCUUGGAGAUAAGACCUACCUCUUCACAAAUUUGAUAUUGUGCUGGUCAUCUCACCUCUCUAGUUCUCAGUUGUCUCGUCUGUAAAAAGGAGAUAAAAAUUCUUUACCUAGCUGAAGAUGAGGUGGAGGACCAUUCUACUACAAUAUUGUUUUCUCUUGGUUUUAUGUCUACUUAUUGUUCUUGAAGCUGUGCCUAUAGACAUAGACAAGACAAAAGUAAAAAAUGCUCAGCCUGUGGACAGUGCAAAGAUAGAACCACCAGAUACUGGACUUUAUUAUGAUGAAUAUCUCAAGCAAGUAAUUGAUGUGCUGGAAACAGAUAAUCAUUUCAGAGAAAAGCUCCAGAAAGCAGACAUAGAGGAAAUAAAGAGUGGGAAGCUAAGCAAAGAGCUGGAUUUAGUAAGUCACCAUGUGAGGACAAAACUAGAUGAAUUGAAAAGGCAAGAAGUAGGAAGGUUAAGAAUGCUAAUUAAAGCUAAAUUGGAUUCCCUUCAAGAUACAGGCAUAGACCAUCAUGCUCUUCUAAAACAGUUUGAUCACCUAAACCACAUGAAUCCUGACAAGUUCGAAUCUAUGGAUUUAGAUAUGCUAAUCAAAGCGGCUACAAGUGACCUGGAACACUAUGAUAAGACUCGACAUGAAGAAUUUAAAAAAUAUGAAAUGAUGAAGGAACAUGAAAGGAGAGAAUAUUUAAAAACACUGAGUGAAGAAAAGAGAAAAGAAGAAGAAUCUAAAUUUGAAGAAAUGAAGAAAAAGCAUGAAAAUCAUCCCAAAGUUAAUCAUCCAGGAAGCAAAGAUCAACUAAAAGAGGUAUGGGAAGAGACCGAUGGAUUGGAUCCUAAUGACUUUGACCCCAAGACAUUUUUCAAAUUACAUGAUGUCAAUAAUGAUGGCUUUCUGGAUGAACAGGAAUUAGAAGCCCUAUUUACUAAAGAGUUGGAGAAAGUAUAUGACCCCAAAAAUGAAGAGGAUGAUAUGGUAGAAAUGGAGGAAGAAAGGCUUAGAAUGAGGGAACAUGUAAUGAAUGAGGUUGAUGCUAACAAAGACCGCUUGGUGACACUACAAGAGUUUUUGAAAGCCACAGAAAAAAAGGAAUUCUUGGAGCCAGAUAGCUGGGAGACAUUGGAUCAGCAACAGUUCUUCACAGAGGAAGAACUGAAAGAAUAUGAGAAUCUUAUCUCUUUACAAGAAAACGAACUUAAGAAAAAGGCAGAUGAGCUUCAGAAACAAAAAGAAGAACUGCAGCGUCAGCAUGACCAACUUGAAGCUCAGAAGCUGGAAUAUCAUCAGGUUAUACAGCAGAUGGAACAAAAAAAAUUACAACAAGAAAUUUCUCCAUCAGGGCCUGGUGGAGAAUCAAAGUUACAGCCACUCAUUUAAAGUCUGAAGUCCACCAGAACUUGGAAGAAAACUAUAAAAUAAACAUCCGUGUCAUAUUUUUACCUCCCUUCCUUUUUCUCUUCUCAAUAAAUAUUUUAAAGCAUAUAUGGAAUAAAGGAAGAUACUUUUUAAAUGAGAGCACUUUUUUUUGGACACAGAUAUUUAAGGAUUGAAGUCUACCAGAACCAGGAAGAAAACAAACUCAGUAUCUGCUCUCACUUUCGUACCUCCCUUCUUCUUUCUUUGUUCUCCUUUAGUGAUUUAAUUAAGUGGCCUUGUGCCAUAAUUUAGUGAAACUAUCAGUAACUAUUUAAGUGAGAAAGCUCCAUCUAUUGCUUUUAAAAUAAAUUGCUGUCACUCAUAAAGGUAGAUAUUCUUUUGUGGGUGCUUGUCAUCCCCUCUCUCGAUAAAAGUCUCUUUGAUAUUAAUACUUCUCCUGAGAAGACCAUAGUAUUCCCCAGUGGUAACUUUUUCCCACUUUCAGCACCCUUAACUCUUAGAAAUUCUUCUACUGAAUAGUUUUUGUACCAUUUCAGGUCAUUUUUUUUUGUUCAUAUUUAUACUCUAUCAUUUAAGAUCAGGUUCUAAUAUACAUAAUGAAAAAACCAAAGAUAACAGUAGUUUUAAACUAAACAGGAGUUUUUCCUUUUCACAUAAAAGAAAUCUGUAAGUAGGUAGUGUCCACGUUCUUAUCUUUCUGCUCCGCUAUCCUCCGUGCAUAGUUUUUAUCUUCAUGUUACCUCAUCCUCAAUGUAAGAUUGCUUUUGGAGGAAGCAGGGAAGGGCAGGAAAAGGAACUUUCCCCAGCUUCCUUGAGGCAAUUUUCCUGGAGAACCACACAACAUUUGAACUUAUAUCUCAUUGGCCCAAACUGAGUCACGUGGCUAUCUAUCUAGCUGAUAGGGAAGCUGAAAAUUCCCUGUGGCAUUGCGACCAGCUAAAAGUUACUAUUCUUUAAGGAAAACGGGAGGAGGGAAUGUUUGGUAGGUAACUUUUAAUUUUAACCCAAACAGCCUUGUCGGCCACCUAAAUAUCUAUUGUACAUUCUUCUGAAACGUAGAAAACAGUCACUUCCCCCAUCCCUAAAGGAGACCACCAAAAUCCAAUCUAUUAUUGCACGUAGAUCAAAGACCAUGAAAUCUGAAUAUAGUCCCCUCCAUCAGGUUAGGAUGUGGCUCUUUAUGUUCUUGGCUAUCUGCAAAUGAAAAAGCAAGGUGUCUGCCCCAUGAGCACCAUAUGUAUAAUAGUGGGAUAGGUACAGGAUAACUGCUGUAAAAUUAACCUUUUUGAAAAGGGGAAAAUGGGAAACAUAGCAGUCACUGAUCCAUAACAUUAAAAAAAAUACUGCUUGGGAAAAAUAGCAAGAUCUCUCUGCUCUGUCCAUAAAUAUAUUCCCUGGUUUUCCUAUCAGGCAACUUUGGAUUCACCUUUCUGGGAGGAACCCCCUUGUCUAAUGUCCUCAGGGGCCCCUGAUGUUGCCUUGUAGGAGGUUUUUAUUGUCCAUUAAUUUUUAAGGACAUAUCUGAGUGGGCAUUGGUAAGGAUGCCUUUCUUAGAAGCUGGACAGCCUUAGCACUUCACGUCCUGUUAUUUUGGGUUUGAGGAUUGGGGGUUGUUUUAGGUCGUAGGCCAGAUUUAGGGUUUUUGUGUUGUUUUGUUUUGUUUUUGGCAAAACAGUACCCUAAAAACUUAGUAAGUUUCUGGUCUGUUUUCUUCAGUGAUUACCAUUAGUAACUUCAAGAUCUUGUCAAGACAUAGUUUUUCACAAAGAACCUCAUCUUUACUUGCUGGCCUCUGUAUUCUCGUUCUCCCCUGGGGUCUUGAAUGGUACCUACUUGGGUACCAUUUUAAACUAUAGGCUUGGAUGGGAUAACAACAGUCUUUAUAUGAUCUUUCUCCUUAGGAUGGCUCCCUUACUUGGUAUAAAAUUCUUCAGAUAAGGUUCUUGAAAAAGGUUAAGAAAGCAUUAGCAGCCUCCUCAGAACCUUUACUUAUAACUGUUUCAGUUUGAAGUAUGAUGGUAGUUGACCUUCUCAAUUCUUUAGGGUUCCAGAUUUGGGACUUUUUCAGUUUAUUUCGUAGACAGAGCAGUUCCCUCAACAAAGCUAUGUACCCUUCCAUCUUUGCAGACUUGUUAACUUUAGCCUGAGUCACAUUUCUCCUGUAGGACUUUGCCGAAAGAGGCAAGAGGCAGCCCACACAUGCUAGCAUUCUGAAAUUCUGCCACCACUUUCUCUGAUAUCUUAACUUCAGUUAGCAUGAGGUCUCACCGCUCAAAGCCCUACCUCCUCAACUAAACCCAUUCAUAUUUAAGAUCUUUUUAUUUUGCUGUACUUUACUUUUAGCUACCAAGUUCUGUAUAGGUCAAGAUUUUUGGUUGUAGAUAAUAGAAUCUUCUUUAGCUAUUAAACAGAAUGAGAUUGAUUAGGGGUACAGAUAACUCACGGAAUCUUGAGAACCCUUUGAGAGGGUCGAAGAAACAGAACCUAGGCUGAGCUUCUAGGAACUCCAUCACAAGAGAGGGCUGCCAAGGAAGCUGCUGCUUUUGGAGCAGUGAAGACUGCCUGCCAGGUUGGGAUGCUGCCUGUUAGAUUAGGAAGACACAGGCAGUUGCCAGCUCCAGGAUACACCACUACUGCUAUACUUUGUGUCGGCAAAAAUGGAUACGUCUCGUCCUGCUUUUCUCCCCUUGUAACUCAGUUCUGAGUGAGAGUCUCAGCUGUGCAGUACAGUCAAGAAGAAAUUGAAAAAGCCAGAGUUAGAUGAUGAGCUUCAUCCUUUUCAUGCAAGAUGUUUAUCUCCUGAAGAAUCUACUAGAGAGAAAUCUACCUUCACCCUUAACCACUGGUGCCUCUAAUUUAAUACUUUAAUUCAUUUUCGUUGGAAUUGAGAGACUAAGGUGUAUUAAGUAAAACGCAAAGCUUAUUCUUACAUUCCUUUUGGGUGAUAUAAUGGAAGACUAAUGACAACUUGCUUUCAAGGUGUGAGAUAGUAAGGAAAUCGGAUCUUUUCCUUUUUUUCUUUUUCUUUUUUUAACACAAUAUCAUUAGCAAGAUUCUAAUCUUUCUCUACUUGUUUUAAUUUAUUAUUUAAAUGAGUAGUUAGCUAUGAAUUAGUAGCCAUCUUAGUGAAUCUAAGAACUGAGCCAGAACAAUCAUCUGCAGCAAAUGGUGAAGACACCAAAUUGAAAAAUUAGAAUUUAUGAUUACCAGCGCUGCCAACCUGUUUAUUCAGACAAAAACAAAGCAAAACAAAACUAAUGAAAACUUUGAUUUAAUUGAGGAAUUUAGAAUUUUUCAAAUAUGGCCUAUAGACUUAUGUAGAAAAACAACAAAUGUCUACUGUUUUCACUGCAGAGCUUUUAGUAUACAUUUUAAUUCAUGUUAGUCCGGUUCUUGAUGAUGAAUGUCACGUACCAGCUUAGUAGUCAGCCAGCCCUUGACAAUGUACUUUUCCUUACAUGUUCACCCUUCUAGUUGCCUUCAAAGCUCUGCAUGCCUUUAAACAAAUUUUCUUUUGUUUAUAAUUUGUACAUAAUCUCUUGUAAGCAAUAGAUUUGACUUUUCCUGUGCAAAUUUUCUUAUCCUCUUUCGUUUUAUUCUUAAGACUAAAUAUAUUUACCAAGGCUUUCCAGGAUUAUGAAUGUAUAUCUUAUAAUUAAAAUGUUAAAGUAUUUUAUUUUACAAUUCUUAUAAUUUUGCUUCUCCAUGGAAUUUAAAAAUGAAUAAUGAUUUUCCACAUGAUUUUUAAGUUAAAAUUUGUCUGAGUGCUUUAAAAUUGAGAGAGAAAAAGUAAACCUCCAUCUAGUUGUCUUUGCUAUCCCCCAUGGGUCAUUGUAUUAAAAUGUUAUUUUUGUUCAAUUUUAGUCCAUUUUAAAUGUUCACUUUUAGUGAUAUGAGAGUAUCAGUCACUUAAUUAAAUCCUUACCUUCACUUUAGAUUCCUCCUCUAUGGAGUAUGAAACACAUGGGCAGCCCAUGCUGUAUUUGUUUGGUACCAUGUGGCUUUUCUUAUUUUGCUGGCCACUAUUAUCCUUCAGUUGUUAAAGUGGUUUGAAUUUGCUUUACUUUUGAACUUUACCCUUUCUUUUCUUACGGUUGAUACUUUAUAAAUAUUUCCUUAUUAGAGUAGUGAUGGCUUAUAGAUUAUUUCCUUUUAAAAAACAUAUUUGCCAUGCCCCUUGAUGUUUUAAACAUUUUCAUGAUAGUAUUGAAGCAAACAACAAUUUAAAACUCCUGUAAUCUUUGUGUAGUGAUUCCUUCUUAUUCUAUAGCAUUGAGUAAGGUAUCUUAGAAUUUGUAUCUUAAUUUUUUUCUCAGUUCUAAUCCUGUAUACAUUUCUUACUCCUUAGAUGUGUAUAUAUUUUCAUUCUUUUAUAUUCAUAGUAUGUUUCAUUAAGAUUGAUUCGACAUUGAUCUUGGCCUAAAAAAAACAAAAACAAAAACAAUUGCAGAAAAGUCAGCUUUUCAAUAGCUACUUCAAGCAGGCUGUAAUUCCUAAGGUGGUUUCUGAGCACUGUGGAGAGUGCUUUUAACCAUGAAGAAAAUUUGUAAUUCAUGAAUAGAGUCCCUGACUCCUGACUCCUUCCCUUUGACAGAGUGAACCAAACUCUGAUGAAUAUCUCUUGUCCAAUUCUUCAGCUUUUUAUACCCUCUUUAUUAAAUAAUAAUAGUUUAAAAAAUAUGUUAUGUAUCUGAGCAGACAUUUUCCAUCUUACAGUUGUUAAUAAAGGAAAAAAUAUUUUUGGAAUAGAAAGCCCAGGACAUGAAUUUAGCAAUCUCUGUUUAGAAGUAGUGUCAAUUACUGCUUCUUCAUUACUUUGCCUGGAUGAUCUGAAUUUUAAUUAAAUUCUUUCCUCUCUAUGUACUUCCAUUUCCCUACUUCUGUGUUGACUUUUCCAUUGUAUUUCUAAUGCACCUCCUUAACCACUGGAGAAAGCUUUGAAGGAUGAAGAACGUGGUAGCAUGUUGUCAGGUUUCUUAAAGUUUCAUAGCCUUCAGCUUCAUGGGGCUUAAUUUCAAAAGAAUUCUCCCCUUCUCUCAGAGUCUCAAACUAUCCAUCUUUUCUCUAAGAGAGUCUGUUGUAUUACUAAUUAAGAGGUAGAGGCGACUUUAUUAAAACAGGAUUAAUUUCCAAAAGAUUUAUACAAAAGAUAAAAUAGAGGCUAAAUAUUUUACUUUAAGGACAACAAUUUGAAGCCAGUUAAUGGCCAGAGUGACUGUUUCAUUCUUUUGUGGUGGCUCUGGUGACUUUCCAAUAGUUCUGUCUGCGCCUAUCUAUCUAGUGUCAGGGCCUAAGAACAGAAAAGGACUGGAGGUUGAAAUACUGUAGCCAAGGUGGAGGAAGGAGCCUCUUUUCAGUGACGGUGUUUUUUUCCUCUGAAGCUGUUAGUGCAGGAUCUGUUAUAAGCCCUAGCAAUUUUCAAAUUGUACCACUGUCUCUGUACCUCUUUAUAUAGCCUCUAAUUGAAAUGGCAUAUUUUUGGAAGGAAUGCAUAGAUGUUUAUAUGUAAACUUGUGCCUAAAAUAGGUCUGGAGGGAAGAUCAUAGUUAUUCUAUGUCUUCAAGAAUUAAAACAUGAAAAAAAAAAUUUUUUUUCUUUAUUGCUUUUCCUUUUCAUGAAGGAAACCAGUGCUGUAUAAUCUAUAUUUUAUCAAUAUUUAUUAUGUUUUAAAAACCAUUUAAUAAUGAUGGUUUCUACAUCCUAUUUUAAAGUUGAGAUUUUAAAGAUCAUUUAUUUUAUCUGUUAUUGCUAAUUUGGGGGGAUUUUCAAUUUAAAUGUUGAAUUUAAAAUGUAACCUUUUAUAAAUAUGUGGCUAAAAAUGUCCUGUUAAUUUUGAACUUUGGAAAGAAAUUUUAUUAGUCUGAAGUGUACUUGGAUUUGAUUCUUAUUGGUUUAUUUAGAUAAUUGGACUAUUUUUAAAACUACAAAAAUUAGAUUUUAUUUUGAUAAUCAGGAAGACAUUGAGACUGUAUACAAGUUUAUUAUAUUUGAAUUUGUUGACAUUCGUUGUGUAAAUUCUUUCAGUGCAAUAUUUGUUGGAAAAUAUUCUAGUCAUUUGUAUAGGUCCAUUUUUAAUUAUAUUAAAACAAAAUUAGAAAAAUA